GUGGCGAGGACUACAUUUCCCAGGAUGCCGUGCGCUGGGUUUCGUUCGGCGCUGAAUAGAGACCCGAAAUUGAGCUCUUCGGGGACAAUUGGAAGUGGCUUUUAUCACUUUGGACCUGAUGGCUAAAGAAAGGAGCCAUAUACCUCCAGAAGACUGCUCCCUUGGCCAUAAGAGAGAACAUUGGAAGGACCAUUCAAGCAAAUCAUGGAAGACACCUAACAGAGUGUCAGCAAAUGUUUAUUAAACUACAUUAAUUGACUGAUCCCAUAACACUUAAAAGACCUAUUAGAGAGGUGGAGUCAAGUCCAGUAAGAAACACCACCAAAAGCACUGUCCAAACCCUCCCCCUCUGUACAAAGUGCAGUGGGCGUCAGCAUGGAGACCUCCCAGUUCUGUGUAUUGGUAAAUCCACAAGGAAAGGAAUGGAGGCUUCCUCCCAUGGACUCAGAAUCCAGAGAAUCUCUGCUGCUACCACAGAAGGCAUUUCGGAAAGAUGUGAUUACUGAGCCAAGUGAGCAUUCCCAAAUCCUUGCUAUUUCCCAGACACAUGAGCUCAACAGUAUUGACAGAGCUUAGGGAGCCUGUUAUGUCCUACAGAUGGAAUGUUGUAGAACACAACCUAGACAUCAUCGAAUGUGGCCAUGAAAUAUUUCCAGUGAAAGUUUUAUUUCUACUUCCCCACCAUUCAGCUUCUCAAUCUACUGGUCAUGAGAAGUUACUUUGCUUGAUCAGAAUUUGAGUUGAAAUUUUUUCAGAGAAUAAAGAAAAUUCCCAAAGGUCUAACACAGAACAAAUGGCCAUGCUAAAUCAUACUAAAUAAUUCAGUGCAGCACUUCCAGACGUCUGCAAGAUUCUUCUUGGCACAGAUUCUUUUCUAUGCUGAGUGUGUGCCUGUGGUUAUCUCCAUGUUCUUAUAAGACUCAGCUCCACUGACAGCAGUUAACUUGGACCCAACCAGAUCAACUAAGGUCCUUCUCUAGCAUUGGAUUUGGCCCAGAGAGCCUCUUGGCAUCUCAGUGGUUGAAACUUUGUGAUAUGUAAUUUAAGAACUAUCAGUAGCCAUAUUUGCCUGCUUCUGAAGAGUGCUGGUUUACAGUGAGAGGGAAUAAGGCCUACCUAUGGAGAGAAACAGAGACAGAAACAAUCCCAGUGAGGUUCAUGUUUCUGGUUCCAGUUGUUCCUGAUGCCCCUCUGCUUCCGUGCACUUCCAGAAGCAGGAGCUGAACACAGGAAGUGGUGCCUUAAGGGAAUGGAGGCCACGAAGGCUGAUGAGGUCCGGAGGUUGAUGAGGUCCAGAGGUUGAGGAGCCAGGAAGAAGGUAGACCUCAAGUCCUAAAAUCACCACAAUGCAACAUCUCUAGGCCAGGCAUUCUAUUAAGCAAAAGGAAAGCCUACGUUUAACAUUUUUGCAAACAUCAAAACAAAAUUAUGUAUUUGGAAUAGAGGAAUGAGGAGAAGUUGGAGAAGUAUGCCCUAGAGAACCAUAGAGUCGGAGGGACUAUAGUCUCUCAGCAACUGAGAACGGAGCAUCUUGAAUGGUGCUGGGACAGAGAAACUAAACUCUGGUAGGAAAAGGGUCCCAAGGGAGACAAGGCACGGGGCCAAGGAAGACUGGGGGAGACAGCGACCUGCCGAGGCACUGGAGCUGCAGAAUCACUGGGGCUCACAGAUUUAUGAGUUUGUGUGGCAUUCACAUGGAUCUGCCCUUCUGUCAAAGUGGCCAUAACGGAUGUGAUCUCACAAAGGUAGGGCUGAUCAGCGCCAAUGUCACGCUCUAAGUCGUAGUCAUACGUUUGCAGCCUGCAAAAUGAUGGAAUGGAAUAGACCCUGUUCACAGCGAUGUUCCCUUCUUGGGAAUUGCAACUGGAGAAGACAGACCCUCACUGGCCAUGUCUCUACACCAGUGCCAAUCUAGGACAACCAGAGUGUCUAUUCCAAAGAGUUUGAAAUUUUGAGCUGAAAGAUACAGAAAUAACAGACUAGUAGAAAGUGUAGGAACUUCUGCCCCUAAAGUUGCCAGAGUUAUUUUAAUUCUGUUAUUUCUCUGUGGUUUGGAUAUAGCCUAUAUUAGUUUUCUGUAGCUGUUGUGGCAAAUUAGUACACACUGAGUGGCUAAAAAACAUGAAUUCGUUCCUUAAUAGACAUUAAUAAUACUUCUCUCAUAGUUCUGGAGGCCAGAAGUCCAAAAUCAAGUUGUCAGCAGUAUUAUACUCCCUAUGGAGGCUGUAGGGGAGAAUUUCUUCCUUGCCUUCCCUAGGCAAGGUUUAUGGCUCCAUUACUCCCAUCUCUGCCUCUGUCUGCACAUCAUCUUCUUCCGUGUCUUUCCCCCUUUAUGUGUGUCUUAUAGAGAUACUUGCCAUUGGAUUUAGGGCCCACCGGGAUUAUUUCCUCAUCUCAAGAUCCUUAACUUAAUUACCUCAACAAAGACCCUUUUUCUAAAUAAAGUCACAUUCACAGGUUCUGGGGGUUCUGAUGUGAAUGUAUUUUGGGGGGGCUACCAUCAUUGAAUCCAAUACCCCACCCUUCCAAUUACUUCCUCAAACUAAGCAGUGCCCAUUUCCAUCACUUGCAACCAAAAAAAAAAUUAGUUUAGGGUCUCUCGAUGCUAGCCAUGACAGUUGUAAGUGGUUUGUACCACCUGUAUACUAAGCUUGACUUCAGAAAUUCUGCAAUUUCAAUGUAGUGUUACCUUGGAACUUAGUGAAAGUGCAAGUUUCUGCCUUCCACCCCAGUUUCUCAAUAAAUUGGUCCAGGAAUCUGCAUUUUAACAAUUCUCAGGUGGUCCAAUGAGAAAAGAACAGGAAAAAUUACGAAGGCUCAGACCCUUUAACGUCCAGUUCAAAUAAAAGCAAAAGGAAAAGCAAUGAAAAAUAACUUGAAAACUUUAAUGAUAUUGUUUAUAUAGUAAAAACAUAAAAUCUUUUAAAUAAGGUACAUUCAAUUUCUCAGAGCAUCUAAUAUUCAGAUAAUUUAUAUUUCAUAUACUUUCCAACAUUAAACAAUUGACUAAGUAAUGCAUUUUCUAAAAAAUGAUAUUACAACUUAUAUAAGUAAAAG
Herpailurus yagouaroundi (jaguarundi) is the source of this 3057-nucleotide long non-coding RNA. RefSeq lists it as uncharacterized. NCBI's taxonomy places the organism in Eukaryota, Metazoa, Chordata, Mammalia, Carnivora, Felidae. The transcript has 11 exons. The record is from RefSeq and is a predicted model, not a curated record.